This 489-nucleotide ribosomal RNA is filed under the name uncultured bacterium. RNAcentral's name for it is "bacterial SSU rRNA". It matches the Rfam family "Bacterial small subunit ribosomal RNA", at positions 28 to 509 of the family's 1533-position model. The record is from RNAcentral.
GACGAACGCUGGCGGCGUGCCUAACACAUGCAAGUCUAACGAGAAAGGGGUAGCAAUAUCCUGAGUACAGUGGCGCACGGGUGAGUAACACGUAGGCAAUUUGCCUUCAGGACGGGGACAACCUCGAGAAAUCGGGGCUAAUACCCGAUAAUGCAGCGGCACCGCAUGGUGACAGUUGUUAAAGGCCCGCAAGGGCGCCCGGAGAUGAGCCUGCGUCCCAUUAGGUAGUUGGUGAGGUAACGGCCCACCAAGCCUACGAUGGGUAGCUGGUCUGAGAGGAUGAUCAGCCACACUGGAACUGAGACACGGUCCAGACUACUACGGGAGGCAGCAGUGAGGAAUAUUGCGCAAUGGCCGAAAGGCUGACGCAGCGACGCCGCGUGAAGGAUGAAGUCCGUUAGGAUGUAAACUUCUUUUGCAGGGGAAGAAUGUGGCGCCUUGGGCGCCAUUGACGGUACCCUGCGAAUAAGGGUCGGCUAACUACGUGCC